RNAcentral lists this ribosomal RNA (303 nucleotides) under uncultured bacterium. Its description in RNAcentral is "partial 16S ribosomal RNA". It matches the Rfam family "Bacterial small subunit ribosomal RNA", at positions 507 to 807 of the family's 1533-position model. The record is from RNAcentral.
AGCAGUCGCCGCGGUAAUACCGAGGGUGCGAGCGUUAAUCGGAUUUACUGGGCGUAAAGCGUGCGUAGGCGGCUUCUUAAGUCGGAUGUGAAAUCCCUGAGCUUAACUUAGGAAUUGCAUUCGAUACUGGGAAGCUAGAGUAUGGGAGAGGAUGGUAGAAUUCCAGGUGUAGCGGUGAAAUGCGUAGAGAUCUGGAGGAAUACCGAUGGCGAAGGCAGCCAUCUGGCCUAAUACUGACGCUGAGGUACGAAAGCAUGGGGAGCAAACAGGAUUAGAUACCCCUGUAGUCCCUGUCUCUUAUAC